Molecule: ribosomal RNA, 786 nt
Filed under: Triticum aestivum (bread wheat)
Lineage: Eukaryota; Viridiplantae; Streptophyta; Magnoliopsida; Poales; Poaceae
Description: partial small subunit ribosomal RNA
Source: RNAcentral
AUGGUGAAGAAGGGGAAGUGGUCCAGGGAAGAGGAUGACUUGUUGAAAAAACACAUUGACAAGUAUGGCAUUGGCCGUAGUUGGCAGGCAUUGGCUGAAACCCUAGGGCUUCAGCGUUGCGGUCGGGGUUGCCGAGCGCGGUGGCUGAACUACCUCCGGCCGGGACUGAAGCACGGCAACUUCACGCCGGCAGAGGAGAGCAUCAUCUGUGAGAUGUACAGCAAGAGGGGAAGCUGCUGGUCCGUCAUCGCCGCCCAGCUCCCCGGGAGGACGGACCUCGCCGUCAAGAACUACUGGAACGGCACCAUCUCCAAGAGGUUCCACUGGGCGAGCAGCGCGGCGGCCGCGCGCCGCAGGCGCAGCGACCACCGCCCCUCCUCCAGCACGACGUCGGACGCCACCAAGCCGGAGGAGCUCGCGCUGGUCGUCCACGGCGAGGGGAGCUCCACGACAGGAUCGUCAUGCUAUGCCGGCGGCUUCGUGGACGCCCGCGUCCUGGCCGGCUCACUGCCGCUCGUGCAAGCGCAGCCACCGCUGGCGGCCGGCGGCUGGAAAGCGGCGAAAGAAGAGGUCGGUGAGACGGUGCCGAUUGAGAGGAAGCCGGCCGUGGCGCCUGCGCCUCUGCCAGAGAAUGCACCGGCGCUGCCUGGUGAUGAGGCCGGUGCGGUGGACAUGGUCUGCGCCCCCAUGACUGCGAUCCCCCUGGCGUCCAUGGAGCCGGACGACAUGCCUUGGAUUGACGGUUUCGACGAGAUCGACAGCUUCCUGCCCUGGUUCGAUGACUAG